CGGGGGGAGCAAGCGUUGUUCGGAUUUACUGGGCGUAAAGGGCGCGUAGGCGGCCACCGCAAGUCGACUGUGAAAUCUCCGGGCUUAACCCGGAAAGGUCAGCCGAUACUGCGGGGCUAGAGUGCAGUAGGGGCAACUGGAAUUCUCGGUGUAGCGGUGAAAUGCGUAGAUAUCGAGAGGAACACCUGCGGCGAAGGCGGGUUGCUGGGCUGACACUGACGCUGAAGCGCGAAAGCUAGGGGAGCGAACGGGAUUAGAUACCCCGGUAGUCCUAGCCUUAAACGAUGAAUGCUUGGUGUCUGGGGUUUUAUAGUCCCCGGGUGCCGUCGCUAACGCUUUAAGCAUUCCGCCUGGGGAGUACGGUCGCAAGACUG
This 374-nucleotide ribosomal RNA is filed under the name uncultured organism. RNAcentral's name for it is "bacterial SSU rRNA". It matches the Rfam family "Bacterial small subunit ribosomal RNA", at positions 526 to 896 of the family's 1533-position model. The record is from RNAcentral.